CUCAUGUCUAUCAAUAACCUCCUUGUGCAGAAAUCUACACUGCACAAGUUAGGAGUCUGCAAGGGCGGGCGGUGUUACAGUCUCGCUCUUUCCAUUUUCCCCUUUUACUCCACAUAGUUUCAAAGGUCCACAUGGCCCUGGUUUUGACCAGUUUUCCAACAGUUUCAACGUUAUGUAUUUCAACUUCCCGUCUCAGUUCACUGGCGUCUGCACCCGUUGCCGAGUGUGGGUGGCUGAGCCCUGGGUGACAGCACUCGGGACCACGCACCCAUACCCUUCUUUAUGCUCGUUGUCAGCCAGUUGCCAAGAGCGGGAGUGAAGAGCCUGCAAGGCCCGGGAGAGCGCGGAUUCCGGAGUAGGGAGGCGAGGGGGCAGCGUGGGAGACCAGAGGGAAAAUGGGCUGAAAAGCCAACAAAAAAAACAACGUAAAUUGGGCUUUGCUCUGGCUUUACAAAGGCAGAGAUUGUCGAGCCCUCUGACUGUCUUUGUGCCUUCUUUAUCCCGUCCUUUGUGAAAUAAGCCGUUUUCUGCCCCCAC
Molecule: long non-coding RNA, 537 nt
Filed under: Homo sapiens (human)
Lineage: Eukaryota; Metazoa; Chordata; Mammalia; Primates; Hominidae
Description: HSALNT0136639
Source: RNAcentral